Molecule: long non-coding RNA, 352 nt
Organism: Orcinus orca (killer whale)
Lineage: Eukaryota; Metazoa; Chordata; Mammalia; Artiodactyla; Delphinidae
Exons: 3
Source: RefSeq, a predicted model, not a curated record
GUUGGAGGUGAAGUGAAGGAGAGUGAGGACCAUCUGGAACUUGUCAAGGUCAAUAUAUGACCUCUUUGUCUGUUCAUCACCGCAUUUGACUAAGAUAACCUUCAGAGAGCAAUGGCCAGUGCUUCACUUCAGCUUGAUAAAUACCCAGAAGUGGAAUUGCUGGAUCAUAUGGUAGUUCUAUUUUUAAUUUUUUGAGGAAUCUCCAUAUUGUUUUCCAUAUUGGCUGUACCAACUCACAUUCCCAGCAACAGUGCACUGCUGUUCUAGCAGAGCUAGGAUUUGAGCAAGGGAGCUUGGCAGACAGGAGGUGUCUGGAACCAACACACUCAUGUGUUCUAUCAGCAAGAAAUGG